RNAcentral lists this long non-coding RNA (7479 nucleotides) under Homo sapiens (human). RNAcentral describes it as "non-protein coding lnc-CLEC2L-4:1". Lineage: Eukaryota; Metazoa; Chordata; Mammalia; Primates; Hominidae. The record is from RNAcentral.
GAUGGUCUUCAAAACACAGAGACGUGUAGCAUAUGUGUUAGAUAUGGUUCUGGGGAGAACCAUAUUUAAGGGAGGAGCGGAGGAGAAACCUAUAAAGAAGACUCAGGAAGAACAGCCUGAAAUGGAAACCAGCAGAAUGUGGAAGGGGAAAGCAUUUCAAAGAGGAAGGAGCAGCCAGAGGUGUUAAAUGCUGCUCACAUGGAAAGAAACACGAGGACGAAAAAGUGCACAGCAAAGAUAAUAUUUCUGAAACGUGAAACCAAUGUAUGUCUGUUUCAUGCUCCAUAGAUCGUGUUCCCUGUAAUUUUCCCGCACCCGCGGAAUCAAUGGCACCAGUGGGUGCUCCUGAAGGUGCCUCUGAGGAAGACAGUAGGUGCCAUCCAGAACAAGGAAGUAGUUGCUUGAUUUUGAACUGUACGUUAGCAAGCUUUAUUAGGAGAGGAAAGAGUUUUCCUAAUUCCAAAAGCAGCUCCCCUUUGCAUAUGAAGAGCAGAGGGUUUGAGGCUCUAAGCCAUGGUGUAGACAGGAUGCAGGAAAUGACAGGGGGGCUGCUUCUGGGCUGUGGAAGAUGGGUGGAGGGGACAAAAUGAGAAGUGUCCUAUAUUCCUCCCCAAAACCUCCUGGUUUCUGGAUGCUUCCUCAAACUUUAAUCUCCCAGCUGCCUUUGUUCUCUAAGUCACUGGUUCUCAAACCUUGUGGGACCAAGGGCUGCAUGAGAAUCACCUAGGACCCUUGUUAAAAAUACAUAAUUUCAGCCACCUCAAGAUCUAUAUAGUCAGAAUUUCUAAGGGUAACUGAGAAUUCGCAUGUCACGAGUUCCCUGGAAAGAUUCUGCUGAGAGCCAGCGUGGAAAGCCCCGGCACAGUGAGUGUUCCUGUUGGUCCCCUCUCUGACCACCUCAGACCGACUACAUCUCCAGGCUCGAAGGACCUGGCCCCUGAACCCCCACCCUCCACUGCUUUAUUUUUCUCUGUGGAACUAUCACCAGCUAACAUUCCAUUUUGUUUACCUGUUUAUUGUAUGUCCCCUUCUGCUAGAUGGAUGCUUCAGGAGGACAAAGUCUUUUUGCUUUUUUCUUAUUUUCUUUAUGGUUAACUGCACACACUAGGUACAUAAUAGACAUUCAGGAACAAUUAAUGAAUGGAUGUAUGAAGAAUCAAAGAACCGAGAAGCUUUCUACCUAUUCUGCCUAAGGAUACAUGAUGAAACUAAGCUAAAAAAAUGAAAGGGAAAUAAUUCUAUCAAGAAAAAAUUAAAUAAGAGGAUACAGCAAACUGGCUUUUCCUUUAGAGAGUCACCAAUAUAUAUACACAUAUACGUAUACACAUACAAAAAGUCACAGACACAAAGAGGGAAAUGAGCCACAGUGUUAGGAGAUAGCUCAGAGACUCUGAGCCACAGAUACUCGGCUGUGGGUAUCUGAGUCAGUUUUCCUGGAAAUAGCUUUGAAAUACCAGCAUCUCUAGUCCUUUCUGAAUUUGUAAGUAGUCUUUGGACUUUUGUUAUCAAACAUCAGAGUUUAUUCUUGAAAUAAAAGUUUGUUUCCCCUUGGAAUUCUGAGGCUUUCUCCUUUAGAACCUUGGCAGCCUAAGUCCCUCUCUACCUGUGUCUUUAAGUAUGGUCAAUAUUCAAAAGCUUUGGAUGGCGUUGUCUUCGUUUAUGCGGAUAUUAGGUUGCCUCAGUCAACAAUGCUUGAAAAUGGCUUUAAAAUGAGCAUCAUAUCAUGAAGCCAUAUUUGUAUUUAAAUUAAAAUUGUUUUUUUUUUUUGGCCUAUGUCAUACCAGGGAUAAUAUAGAGCAACAGAGAACCAGGGAAAAUGUGAUUCAUGCAUCUCCAAGUCAGGAAAAAGAGACUAUUGGAAUCAUAGCCAGCGACAAACAAGUUAUUGGGAUUUAUAGAAAAGGAUGGCUGAGCAUUCCUGGAAAAACAACUGACUUUUUGUUGUUGUUGCUGUUGUUAGGGAAGAUUUUGUCUGCUUAACUGGCCAGAGUUUUCACUCCAUCCCCCGAAGAAUUGACGUUUUAAAAAGCACAACUGUAGAUUUAGAUUUUCACAGUCUUUUGCUAGAUUCUUUACCAAAGACUAUUAGUGAGUAGUAACCCUGGGAUUGUGUAAAACUUUAUUAAGGAUGAGGGAAUAAAUAGGUUUAAUUUCAGGAAAUAAAACUGGGGCUAAAUUAGUACUUCUCUGACGGAAAAUGUAUAAAUAAUGUGAUCCCCUGGGGACCCAGGUUAGCACUAGAUUUAUUUUUAAAUUUUAUAACUCAUCUGAAAGAGAGAGAACACAGUGGAAUCUAUAUAUUUGUAUAUUCCUCUAAGCUGUUCUGAUUUGAAAGAUAUUAAAUCAAUAGGAAUAACUUUCUGAGACUCUUGUAAGAUUGCAUAAGUCAGCACAAAAGUGGCAGGUAACCUUCAGUGUAAGCAAGAAUAAAAGAAUACAUUUAGGAGAAAGGCAUCUAAACUGUACUUAUAUGAUGAUGAAUUUCAAGCUAUGAAUUACUACCAGGGAAAAGGAUUUGAAAUAUGGAGGACCGAAAAGGCCCCAUAGUCAAAUAAUUUGGUGAAAUAUUACAAACUAUAUUCUUCAAGAUUCACCAUGUACCUGAGCAUAUGAAAGGCUUGAGAAAGGCCUGCAGUAAAGAAACCUGCUUAACUUUGUUUAUUCUGGGCUCAAAUAGGUUUUCAAAAGGAGAGAACGUGGGUUGUUAACUUCCUGGUUGGCUACUGAGAGAAAUGAGUCUCUUGAGCAAUUAUCCUUUGCAGGUAGCUUCCAUGAAGAACCCAGUUUUUGAGUGCCUCUAGCAGAGACUAAGCUUCAAACCUCAUUAACCAUGGAUCCAAUCCAAUAUGGCAGCUUGUAUGUUCUCCAUUCUCAAAGCCCAAUAUAAAUGAUGGGCUUUCUUCAUUCACCCAGAUAACUAAGAGCUGAUGGUACCCCAUUGAGCAGAUAUGGGAGACAAUGAAUCUUCAUAGAUGAGUGCCUAAGGAUAUAUGUGUCACUCAAGAGUAAAUGAACCAAUCAUGUUGCUAUGCAUAGGGACUCAGUUAAAGAAAAGUCAGAUAAAAUGGGAGGCUGGUAUCUCGCACAGCACUGAUCCGGCUCUCUGCCUAAUUUUUCACUUUUCAUCCAGAUGUUCCCCGUCAAGAAGGCACAGUCAAUAAUGUAUGAAUCUUAAAGGCAGAGGCAGAUGUGGUUAUUACUCCCUGUAGGCAUUUCCUGACUUGGAGACGACAUGUUACUCGAGAAUGACUACAAUUUUUAAAAAUUUAAGUUGAUAUAGCCCGCUUAUGAGUAAAUGCAUUUCAGUGCAAAAGUCUUUUCAGAAUUACAGUCAUCAUCACAGUUUAGUUUGGCCUUUAAAUUUUCACUGUAAACUCUCCAGAUGGUCACAUAUGGGGGCUUCUAAGGCAGAACACGCUUCCCAAUAACAUUAGAGCAAGCAGCCUUCUCUAGGAGGCAUCCAUUUCCAGCAGUCUAUUUUUAAUAUUUGCUUUUAUUUCUUAAUCCUCCUGAACAAUAAAAAUGAACGUCAUUAUAACCAAGUGUGGCUGUAGUCAUCAAUACUUCAGAGUCCAAAAAUACAUUGGCCUUGCCUGACCAGUUGCCCAUUUUCUGGAAUAGCUGGGUAUUUAUCUAGCAGCGAGAGACCAUUAUCCUGAGACACAGUCGUGUUCCACCGACACCUGAUCUACUAAUUAAAAUCACUAUCAUGAUGGACUGUUUAAAUUCUGGUUUAAAUGUUCCUUUUGCAUUUGCAUUUAAAAGAAAACACACUCCUCAUCAUGGGCACCCCAGCCUGGGUUAUAAUUUGGCUUUCCUUUGCCAGAAUUAUAAUGUCACUCUGACUUGCCGCUGGUUAAAUCUAAAAGAGCAUCUAAAUGUGCCUCACAGCUUGGCUGUUGCUUGGCAACGCCAGCAGCCACCUCCUCAUUGGGGUGACUUCUAAUUGGUCACAAGUCUUGACAGGAGCCACUGACUUAUUAGAAAUGACACUUGAUUAUUCACCUAGAUGGCUAGAGCUGAUACUUAGCAGCAGGAAAUUUUGCAUAAAAAGGAGUCGUGGAUGUUUUUAAUAUCUGGGUGGCUUUUAGCGAUGGUGUAGUGGAAGAAGGAAGUGAUAAGUUUCAUUAGUGGAAAUUAAUUUUUCAUUUGUUGGUCACCAGUUUAGAGCACUUUAAGGCAUUAAUUUUUUCAUUUUAAAAAAAAACCCAGAAAUACGUUUAAAUACCUUCCCCCACCCCCAGCAGCUGACCCUUACUUAUUCAGAAAACCCUCCUCUGACAUCAGCCCCAAAAUAUUGCCCCCAGGUCCACCAAGGGCCAAAUCAGAUGAAAUGUUCAAUUUAUAAAGGUCAACAAAUAUUUAUUAAUUAGUUCCUGUUGUUAAGGAGUUUAUAAUGUAGAAGAGAAACAAGGUACAUAAAUCACUGCAUUAUUACCAAUCGUGGAAGGUGGUGACAGAGCUGGGGUCCUGCUUUGAGCAUCAGAAGCCACUUUGGCAGGGAGGAAGCAGUGAGUAGCACCGGAAUUGAGCUCUGAAGAUUUUGCUGUUUUGACAGAGGGAGAAGGUGCAUUGCAGGUGGAAUGAGCUGCAGGAAUCAAGGCAUCUGGACAGAAAAGUACAGGGUAUGUUCAGGGAAUAGGGGAGUACAAAUUGGCUGGAACACAGAGUACAUGUAAGGGAUUAGUGAGAAAGAAAGCUGAAAAAGUAGGUUGAGGCACGUACAGUUCACUGUUCUGUGCCGAGAGAGUGUUUGGUGCACACUUCACUAGAGCUCGAGGAGCUAUUAAAUACUUGAAAGUGAGGGAGUGACCUGCUCAGAACUCUGUGUUAGGAAAAAGGGUUUCAUUUCAGCUGUUUAGCCCCCAAGCCAGCCAUUUCCCAGACCCAUGGGGCAAAUCUUUCUGGUGCAGAUGAGGGGAACUGUGAAUUGUCUGGAGGAGUCUCCUCUUUGUAGUAGCCCCAAGUAUGGGCAGGCUCCCAGGGGCCAUGUUAUGACAUCAAGGCAGCGGUGUCCACUGUGGCUCUUUUGAGUCCCUCUUCGUGUGUGGAUCAACAAGUCACCCAAGCUACACACCAUCAACGUUUGGGGCUUAUCUCUGUUUAGAUGGAUAGGGUUAUGUAAAAAAGACCCUCUCCUUCCCUCUCUCUGUGUAGGAAAUAUGUUUUCCCUAGCACUCAGCAUUGUCCAAACUUUCAGGAACUCCAAAGGCUUAAAGAUGGUGGGUUUUUUCUUUCUCAAGUUUAUGACAUAAGAUCUGCACAGAAUGACCUAGAAGUGAAUAAACUAAGGAGCAAAGGAAAUGUGGAGGCUGAGUUUUGUGGGAAAGCAACAAGCCAGGAGUCAGGAUAUCUGGGGUUCCAAUUCUCAUUUGAACACAAAAAUAACCAGAUUCUGCCCUUUAGGUCCCUAUGUAUUCUGAAGUUGAUGUGUCAAAGAAAUGACAAAAGGCUUUCUUGGGAAUGGGAUGUGUUGCUGAAAGCACAUGGACCAAUGAUCUGACACUUCCCUGCACUGAGCUAAGAAUUUGGCUGCUCUCUCCAUGGCUUCAAGCAACUGUCUCAACCUGAUGCUUUGUGACCUCCUUGGAAUCUUCAAAUGUCAGUGGAAAGGGACAUUAUAGCUCAUUGCGAUCAGCCCUUCAUUUAGGGAUGAGGACCCACGUUCAGAGAGAUUCAAAUGCCAGGUCCAAAGUAACACAUAGGACCAGCAUGAGUCUCAGCUUUCUUCUUCAGAGCCAGUUUUCAGCAAACCACACUGUAUUCAUGCUAAGAGACAGUGCCUCAAUCUGUUCAUGUUUCUUGGGUACCUUCUAUGUCAAGGCUCUCAAGGAACAUUUGAUCAAUCAGUCAUCACACAGGUAUUUCUAGAAAAUCAACAGAAUGGGGUGUGCUAUGCUCAUUCUUGAUAUAACAAAUACCAAAAACUUCAUUAAUCCAUGACAACAUGCAAUAGUUACCACAAAAGAGCAAUAUUGAGAGUGUAUUAGUUAUCUAUUGCUGUGUAACAAAAUUACCCCAAAACUUAGUGGCUUAAAACAAACUUUUGUUAGCUCAUUGUUUCUGUGGGUCAGGAAUCCUGGCAUGGCUUAGCUGAGUGCAAAGGCUGAGUCCAGAGGGACUGAGGGCUGAGGCCAGAGGGAUCAAGGUGUCUUGGAGUAGUAGUCAAAUGGCUGGCCUGAUCUGUGGUCUCAUCUGAAGGCUUGACUGGGGGAAGAUCUGCUUCUAAGCCUCAUCACACGGUUAUUAGCAGGAUUCAAUUCGUAAUGGACUUUGGAAGAUAAGAAUCUUGUACUGUGUCCUUCAGUCAGUGGGGAUCUACAAAUGUUUCAGCAAAGCAUUACUGAAAUAACAAGUAUUUUUGGAAGAUCUGGCCAGGCAUGGUGGCUCAUGCCUGUAAUCCCAGAACUUCAAGAGGCCAAGGUGGGAGGAUCGUUUGAACCCAGGAGUUCAAGACCAACUUGGGCAACAUAGGGAGACCCCGUUUCUACAAAACAUUAAAAAAAUUAGCCAGCUGUGGUUGUGUGUGUCUGUAGUCCCAGAUAUUAAUACUUGAGGGGCUGAAAUGGGAGGAUGGUUUGAGCCCAGGAGGGCAAGGAUGCAGUGAGCUGUAAUCAUGCCACUGCACUCCAGCCUGGGUGACAGAAUGAGAUCCUGUCUCAAAAGAAAAGAAAAGAGGCCAGGAAGCUCUUUCAAAGAACUUUCUUUAGUACACCUGGGUGUCAGGCACUAUCAAAGUCCUAAGACUACAAAGAUGCUUAGGCUAUAGUCUUUUUUCUCAAGAAGGAAGAUGACAACCAUAUUCCAGGUGACAAGUAGCAACACCUGAACUAGGAGGUGACUGAGGAGAUAAAUAUGAAAGAACAGAUGAAAGAAAGGAAGCAAUGUUAACAUGAUGAGGCAAGAACAGAUGGCUCCAAUGGGGAGUUGUCCCUGAGGAACAAGAAAAGAGAAGAGAAUGAUUCCAGUAGUCCAAACCAGCCUGGGAGGACGGAUCCCUCCAGAGGACAACUACCAUGUUUACACCACUCCCUGCUUUCUGUGCCAAGUGUUUUGCAUAUUUUGUUUCUAAUCUUUGUCACGACUCUUCAAGGGAGGUAUUAUUUUCAUUUUUGCAGAUGAGGAACUAGACUCAGUGAGGUUAGGCAAUGUACCCAAGAUCACACAGCUAUAAAGUGCCAGGGGAAGGAAACCUACUAAUUUGCAGUGCCUUUGAGUAUUUGCUAUGCUUGGGGCAAGUAUUCUCCAACAAGGUCGGAAUCUUACACUCAAGGAAGGAAACUCAGUGAUGAGAUUCUGUGAGUCACCCAAAAGGAGAGGAGAAGAAGACCUUUGAGCAGAAGCUCUCAGCCCUUCUUGGUCGUUACUCUCUUUGCCCACUCAUCAGGCCCUCCCUCCUUUUAGAAUUCACUCUGUUGCCCUCUGUCUGCACCUUGACUCAAAAUUUCACAGACACAGUUGGUAGAAAAAAAAAAAAAA